Molecule: ribosomal RNA, 450 nt
Filed under: uncultured bacterium
Lineage: Bacteria
Description: partial 16S ribosomal RNA
Rfam family: Bacterial small subunit ribosomal RNA
Source: RNAcentral
GUGGGGAAUAUUGGACAAUGGGCGAAAGCCUGAUCCAGCCAUGCCGCGUGUGUGAAGAAGGUCUUCGGAUUGUAAAGCACUUUAAGUUGGGAGGAAGGGCAGUAAGUUAAUACCUUGCUGUUUUGACGUUACCGACAGAAUAAGCACCGGCUAACUUCGUGCCAGCAGCCGCGGUAAUACGAAGGGUGCAAGCGUUAAUCGGAAUUACUGGGCGUAAAGCGCGCGUAGGUGGUUUUGUAAGUUGGAGGUGAAAUCCCCGGGCUCAACCUGGGAACUGCCUCCAAAACUGCAUGACUAGAGUACGGUAGAGGAUAGUGGAAUUUCCUGUGUAGCGGUGAAAUGCGUAGAUAUAGGAAGGAACACCAGUGGCGAAGGCGACUACCUGGACUGAUACUGACACUGAGGUGCGAAAGCGUGGGGAGCAAACAGGAUUAGAAACCCCGGUAGUCC